RNAcentral lists this long non-coding RNA (200 nucleotides) under Gossypium raimondii (Peruvian cotton). Its description in RNAcentral is "long non-coding RNA (GRAI_LNC010838)". Lineage: Eukaryota; Viridiplantae; Streptophyta; Magnoliopsida; Malvales; Malvaceae. The record is from RNAcentral.
UUUUUUUUUUUUGAAUAAUUUAAUUACAAUUACUAAUGCUAAUGACAUUUUCAUUUACUUACAAACUUUAACUUUGACUAACAUUUAAUCCAUUAUAAGGGUUGAGUUUUUUUUUUAAUUUGGGUAAAUUGUUAAUUUUUUUACCCUAAAAUUUAAAAAAAAUACCUAUGAACAUAAAAAGUAAUUUUUGACCUCAUAAG